UUUUUUUAUUUUUAWAUUUUUAUGUUAUUUUUGUAAAAUGUUUUAGUUUUUUUUAUUAUUUGAAGAGACAAUUAAAAUUUGGUUUUUGAACUGGAUUAGUACCCAGGUAAUCAAAAUUUAUUAAUUCGGGAGUAAAGUUUUAUUUAAACCGAAAAAAUAUUGACUGACUUUGGAUUUUUCUUUGGAAUAUGCGUAUGGAGAGCCCYCCYUUUUAGUUAAUCCUAUUGGCACAUGUAUGAUUGUUUAGUUUUUAUUUUAUUUGUAAUGCUUUUUUGUUAUGUCAUUUAAAACAGAUAUAUAUUUGGCUUAUGGAUUUGUGAUCGUGUGUUACUAUUAUUAAUUUUUUUUUGGAUUAUUUUUUUAUUUUUUUUUGAAAUUGGAAAAAAAAGAAAUUUUUUUU
RNAcentral lists this ribosomal RNA (400 nucleotides) under Brugia timori. RNAcentral describes it as "partial 12S ribosomal RNA". Lineage: Eukaryota; Metazoa; Nematoda; Chromadorea; Rhabditida; Onchocercidae. The record is from RNAcentral.